This 432-nucleotide ribosomal RNA is filed under the name uncultured bacterium. RNAcentral describes it as "partial 16S ribosomal RNA". It matches the Rfam family "Bacterial small subunit ribosomal RNA", at positions 29 to 506 of the family's 1533-position model. The record is from RNAcentral.
AACGAACGCUGGCGGCAUGCCUAACACAUGCAAGUCGAACGAGACCUUCGGGUCUAGUGGCGCACGGGUGCGUAACGCGUGGGAACCUGCCCUUAGGUUCGGAAUAACUCCCCGAAAGGGGUGCUAAUACCGGAUAAUGUCUUCGGACAAAAGAUUUAUCGCCUCGGGUUGGGCCCGCGUUGGUUUAGCUAGUGGGUAGGGUAAAAGCCUACAAAGACGCCGAUCCCUAGCUGGUCUGGGAGGAUGAUCAGCACCACUGGGACUGGGACACGGCCCGGACCCUUAGGGGAGGAAGCAGGGGGGAAAAUGGGAAAUUGGGCGAAGGCCGGAUCCAGCAAGGCGGGGGGAGGGAGGAAGGCCUUAGGGUUGUAAGGCUCUUUUACCCGGGAGGAUAAUGACAGUACGGGGAGAAUAGGCUCCGGCAAACUCCGG